This 378-nucleotide unclassified non-coding RNA is filed under the name Bombus terrestris (buff-tailed bumblebee). RNAcentral's name for it is "misc RNA ENSBTSG00005023791.1". Lineage: Eukaryota; Metazoa; Arthropoda; Insecta; Hymenoptera; Apidae. The record is from RNAcentral.
AAUAUUUAAUAACGCUCGGACAUAGACGAGCUGCUGAAGAGACGCCAGGAAUCGUUGUUAUUUUCGGAUCUGUAUGCUGUGUUGCAGCGUCCACUUGCAAGUGGAUUCACCGAAUUGCACCGUUUCCUUCGCGUCCAAGAAAAUUGUCGAUCGAUCUCUGGAUCGUCGGAUACUUGCCACGAGAUCCGGAUACGGACAAGUUUAGGUUCGUUUGUUCGACAGUCGGUGACCACCUAGCUAAAGUUCAAAGGAUACCUUUCGUCGUCUACAGGGUUGGCGCGCCCACCUUCCGAUUUCUGGGUCAUAUAGAUGCGAGAAUAAUAGCAGGCUAAAACAAAGAAUUACUCUACUUUACUUUUAUAAGAGGUUGCUGCCAAU